GACGAACGCUGGCGGCGUGCUUAACACAUGCAAGUCGAGCGGAGCGGCGAACGGGUGAGUAACGCGUGAGUAACUGCCCCCCUCUCUGGGAUAACAGUUGGAAACGGCUGCUAAUACCGGAUAGUGGGGGAUGACUCGCGUCCUAUCAGCUUGUUGGUGGGGUAGUGGCCUACCAAGGGGCCGACGGGUAGCCGGCCUGGGAGGGCGACCGGGCACAGUGGGCGGGUGUACGGCCCAAAGUACUACGGGGGGCAGCGGGGGGGAGUAUGGAGCAAUGGGGGAAACUCUGAGGCAGAAAGGCGCGUGCGGGAUGGCGGCAUUCGGGUUGUAAACCGAUUUCAGCCAUGACGCGGUAGUGGCAGAAGAAGCACCGGCUAACUACGUGCCAGCAGCCGCGGUAAUUC
Molecule: ribosomal RNA, 404 nt
Filed under: uncultured bacterium
Lineage: Bacteria
Description: partial 16S ribosomal RNA
Rfam family: Bacterial small subunit ribosomal RNA
Source: RNAcentral